CCCGCCACUACACCCGUCUGCUGGUGACUGAGUGUAAUCCAGUGGAGGCUCAGAGCGACCCGGCUUCAGGAAACAGAGCUGUUCACACUAAUGGACACCUCUGUGCCGAAAAGUCUGGAACAAGA
This is a small nucleolar RNA of Amphiprion ocellaris (clown anemonefish), 125 nucleotides long. The record is from Ensembl. NCBI's taxonomy places the organism in Eukaryota, Metazoa, Chordata, Actinopteri, Pomacentridae.